This 467-nucleotide ribosomal RNA is filed under the name uncultured bacterium. RNAcentral's name for it is "bacterial SSU rRNA". It matches the Rfam family "Bacterial small subunit ribosomal RNA", at positions 329 to 792 of the family's 1533-position model. The record is from RNAcentral.
UCCCAGACUCCUACGGAGGCAGCAGUGAGGAAUAUUGGUCAAUGGGCUUACGCCUGAACCAGCCAAGUCGCGUGAGGGAAGACGGUCCUAUGGAUUGUAAACCUCUUUAGGCGGGGAGCAAUGCCGGGCACGCGUGCCCGGAGGGAGAGUACCCGCAGAAUAAGCAUCGGCUAACUCCGUGCCAGCAGCCGCGGUAAUACGGGGGAUGUAAGCGUUAUCCGGAUUUAUUGGGUUUAAAGGGUGCGUAGGCUGUGAGGUAAGUCAGCGGUGAAAUGCCCCCGCUCAACGGGGUGAAGUGCCAUUGAUACUGCCUUGCUGGAAUGCGGAUGCCGUGGGAGGAAUGUGUGGUGUAGCGGUGAAAUGCAUAGAUAUCACACAGAGCACCGAUUGCGAAGGCAUCUCACGAAUCCGCGAUUGACGCUGAUGCACGAAAGCGUGGGUAUCAAACAGGAUUAGAUACCCGAGUA